UACAGAGGUCCCGAGCGUUAGGCGGAAUCACUGGGCUUAAAGCGUGUGUAGGUGGAUCGUUAAGUACCUUGUGAAAUCCCCCGGCUCAACCGGGGAACUGCUGGGUAUACUGGCGAUCUUGAGCAAUCUAGGGGCAGAUGGAACAAGUGGUGGAGCGGUGAAAUGCGUAGAUAUCACUUGGAACGCCAAAGGUGAAAACAGUCUGCUGGGGAUUUGCUGACGCUGAGACACGAAAGCCAGGGGAGCGGACGGG
Molecule: ribosomal RNA, 253 nt
Filed under: uncultured bacterium
Lineage: Bacteria
Description: partial 16S ribosomal RNA
Rfam family: Bacterial small subunit ribosomal RNA
Source: RNAcentral